Alligator mississippiensis (American alligator) is the source of this 2294-nucleotide long non-coding RNA. RefSeq lists it as uncharacterized. The record is from RefSeq and is a predicted model, not a curated record. Lineage: Eukaryota; Metazoa; Chordata; Crocodylia; Alligatoridae. The transcript is spliced from 3 exons.
CAGGCCUCCUGCCAUGUGCUCCAUGCCAGUCAGCAGAGCCUAACACCUACUUUCAUAGUAAAUUCCACUGAACAACAAUUCUUCAGACAUCAGUUUCUAUGUCUUUUCUGGACAACACAUUGGUAUCUUAGGUGAGCUGGAUCUGCAGAUGUGUCAUUCAAAGCAAGGACAUUUCAGGUCCCUGAUGGGAGACUGCAUGAAGGAGAUAAUCUAUUCCAGGUUCUGCACUCACACAAGCAUGUUUCUAGCAAAGCUGCUAGAUGCUUCUUACCUUUCCCAAGAGCUACUGCAUAAGCAUUUCUUGUAGAAUCAAUGGAAUAUUAAUCAUUUUUAAAGCUGGUCAGAAAUUUUCCAAUGAAUGUUUUUCUGCCAAAAAAAUGCUGAUUUGUUGAACCCAAAACUGUUUGAGAGAGAGAGAGUCAGAGUCAAACACUCUCUUGACUUCAAAAAAUGCUAGAAAAAUGUUUUGAAAUUUUCCAUUUCAAAGCUUUUGAACUGAAAAGUUUCAUCUGUUGCAGUUCAAAACAACUUGAUCUACAAUUUUAUUGGAAUUGGACUUGCUGGAUAAGCCAUGUACAGCAGGUCUGGGUGCUAAUUUGUAGGGGACAAAGUCACAAAAGACUUCAGACACUGCAGCAUUCCUUCUUGCAGAACCUGACUUUCAGUUGUUCUGCUGCCUAUUGCAAUUUUCAGCCUGGGAUCCACUAAGCGCAUUUACAGGAUUCUAAAUGCUCAGUAGACUAAUUCUACUGUGCAUUACUGCAUCACAGCAAGAGCUCACCACUAAGAAUGGAGAGGGUAAGACCCUAAGCACAACUCUCUUAAAGGUACAGAAUCAAUACAGGCUUGAGAGAGGCUGUCUAUUUCUGCUCAGGAUUCUCAGAUGUGAAUCCUGCACCAGAAUUAGGAACCUCAAGUUGGUAAACUGCCAAACAGACAGACAGUAAGGCCUACCCCAGUAGGUCAGUGGUGAGGACACUAACUCAGAAGAAAGAGACCUACUUUCAAAUCCUUUCUUUGCCAAAUUUGGAGCAAGGAGUUCAAAUCAUGUCUUAGCGCACACAAAUGCAAAGAGUUAAUUAUGUAGUUGUUGGCGAAGAGACUUGACAGAUGCAACCAGUAAGCCACCCACCUGCUACAGAGUCAAUUGCCUGUUCUUUCAUCUCUCUCUCCUCCCCACUCCCUCUACCCUAUGAGUCUUUCAUUAGCUCUUCAAAACAGAAGAGCCUGUGAAUGAGUCAUUCCAGAAUAUCCAACAGUCUGGUCCUGUCAUCCGUGGAGACCUGGUUUCAUCUCCCUGGUGCAAAAGGACCAGAGGAAGAAACUGCAUACUGGUCUCUCACUUUCCAAAUGAGCACCCUCACCUUUGGACCACACAGACAGCUUUGCAAGCACAGGCCUGCAGAUUAGCCAAAGACUUGGCUUUCUUUUGUGAGAGAUCUAAUCACUCAAUUCUGAUAAAGCCGGUGGGGCCAAACCCAUAGUUAUGGAAAGCAAGGGAAUGCCUACUUUGAGGAUCGUGCUACACUUAGGUCUAAUCUAUGGCUCUAGUAUCAGGACUUUGAUACUUCUUCACCAACCCAUAGGCAGAAACUGAAAUGACAUAAGGUCUCUAAACAUCUACAAAGGUAGGCAACAGCUGAGGAGGGCUGUAGGCUCCCAAAAGCCCUCAAAUGUUGGAUUUAGAAGCAGAGGUUGAGGAUUGUGAAUUCCGAGUGACUGCCAGCAUCACUACAGCUCUGAAUAAGGCAGCCAUCUAUGGUGAAAAAUAAUGUUCAUAACACAAACUGGUCAUCGGUGUUUCCUGAAAACUAGUUUAGACAGUUCCCUGCUUAGCCUGCUGGCUUAUGCGAAUCAUGUUUCCAGGUGCAUCUCUCUCCCCAGUACAGGGAGCAUAAGUAUCGAACUUGGAUGUUGCAAAUACCACUAGGCCAGGGGUGGGCAAAAUAUGGCCCCUGGGCUGGAUCCAGUCUGUGAGGCAAUUCUAUUCAGCCCGUGAGGCCCCUAAAACAUUUAGAAAAUUAAUAUUCAUCUGCCCUUGGUUCCUGUCAAAAAUGACAAAAAUGACAGGAACCGAGGGCAGUAGGACCCAGGGGAAGCCUGGCGGGCUCCCACAACAGCAGGGCCUGCCCAGCCCCACCCCCUAGCUGGAAGCCCCUCCCGGGGCUUCUGGCUUGGAACCAUGUGGCUGCCUCGGCCAGAACCGCAGGUAAGGGGAAAGGAGGGGGGAGGGCAAGGGAGGACCCUGGGCAGGAAAGGAGCUCGGGGAAAAGUGGCCUGGAGGGAAAAGUGGC